GACGAACGCUGGCGGCGUGCUUAACACAUGCAAGUCGAACGGUAAGGCCCUUCGGGGUAUACGAGUGGCGAACGGGCGAGUAACACGUGGGUGAUCUGCCCUGCACUUCGGGAUAAGCCUGGGAAACUGGGUCUAAUACCGGAUAGGACUCCGGACUGCAUGGUCUGGGGUGGAAAGCUUUUGCGGUGUGGGAUGGGCCGGCGGCCUAUCAGCUUGUGGGUGGGGUGAUGGCCUACCAAGGCGACGACGGGUAGCCGGCCUGGGAGGGUGACCAGCGACCCUGGGACGAAGAUAGUGCGCAGAUUCCGACGGGAGGCAGCAGUGGGGAAUAUUGCACAAUGGGCGCAAGCCUGAUGCAGCGACGCCGGGUGAGGGAUGACGGCUUUCGGGUUGUAAACCUCUUUCAGCAUCGACGAAGCGAAAGUGACGGUAGGUGCAGAAGAGGGACCGGCCAACUACGUGCCAGCAGCCGCCGUAA
RNAcentral lists this ribosomal RNA (478 nucleotides) under uncultured bacterium. RNAcentral describes it as "partial 16S ribosomal RNA". It matches the Rfam family "Bacterial small subunit ribosomal RNA", at positions 28 to 523 of the family's 1533-position model. The record is from RNAcentral.